ACUGUGCAUCAACAAAGAUCCAAAGACUGGAUUAGAGGACCUCAAUCCCUAACAAACAAGCCAGCAUCGAAAAAUUAUUCUGUACGGACACCGGACAGUCCGGAGGCCAAUCAUAGCUCGCCACAUCACUUUUUUUCUACCAGUUUUUGGUACCACUGUGUACCGGAUGAUGUUGCACAUUCUAGUUAGCCUCCGGACCAGACAUCAAGAAACAUGUAAACAUAAUCGAUAAACAAAGUAGAAUAUCACCCAAAACUCUUUAAAUCUACCACCUUCAAAGCCUUAAAGCUGCGGGCCAUUCUUGAUGAAAAAGAACAAUGUGGCAUUCUAAUGAGUAAGGAACUUUUAUUUGGUCCGGUGCAAGGACCUAGAGGAAGGACCUAAUAAUUGCUCGAGAGACAGAGAGAUGCCAGCAACGUGAGAUAUUGUAGAGUGAAUCCAUUAAGAAAGCUAAAGAACUUGCAAUGCAGAGAACUAACAAAUAUGCUGUAGCAUUCACUGACAGCAGAAACUACAAAAUAGAUAAGCCUAUAAAUAAAAAAUCCAAACACUUUUAGUAACUCCUAUGAUAGCUUUCGUUAUUCAAAAGCAUCUGUAAGAAUAUCUCAUUGACUCUCAAGAGAGCAAAAGGGGGAGAAAGAAAGAGUGUUUAAAAGUUUUUUAAUCUUCUCAGAGAAAAAGGUUAAUAUAUCAAUCCUAUAUUUCAUUCCUAUCACUCAUACCAACUUAUAAAUUAUAAUAUUUCAUUCCUGGCUCUUGUAUUUGAUCUAUGGAUAAUAGACAUGAAAUAUAAAAAAAUUUAGGUGUUGGAUAAAAAAAUGACAUAAUAUAAAAUGGUCCGUAGGUUAAUCCCUAUUUUUUUAGUUCAGAUUAAACAAUAACAUUUUUAAAACUCGUGCAUUUGAAACCCUUUACACCCCUCUUAUUUAUAAAUCAACAUCAUUAUAAUCUUCCUCACAAUUUUGAACUCAUAAAAGAGAUAAUCAUAACACUCUAUUUACCUUUUAUGAGUGUGGCACUAAUCUUCAAUAAUAGUUCAAUGAUUAGGCUUUCUGAAUUGUAUUUCAUGGAGGAAACGAGGCUACUAAUAGUAUAUCCAUCUAUAAACCAGUAGUAUUUUAUUCUUCAACGAAAUUUCAAUUUUUUUUUAUAGCAAGGCUGUCAUUCCACCAAUACAUUAAAAUUAUGAAAUAGGAGUGUUUACAUCAAUAAGGUAAACAUUUUUUUUUUUUUGCGCUAAAUCCACCAAAACAAACUCAACGACAUGGAUCACAAUAUAAAAAAGGAAAGAAGAAGAAAUGAAUAAGAAUAAGGCUAAGAUGAUGACAAUGAAUCCACGACAUCAGACAAGCAGAAAAGCUUUGCAAAGCUUGAAUUACCAACAUAUGUCAACUGUGGUUGACCGAGAAACUCCAGGCCAUCCUGACAUGCACCAUUUAGAACCAAUUAGGGCUGCAAACGAACAGCGUCGAGCCAAGUAUAUGAAUGUUCAUGUUUGUGUUCAUUUAUUAUUUAGGUUAUUCGAGUUUGGUUCGUGUUUGAUUCGAGCUUUAUUGUUUGUGUUCAUGUUUGAUUUGUUUAAAUUAAUGAGUGUUCAUGUUUGGUUCAUGUUUAGUUCGUUUGCUGCUUAUCGAGCUUUAAACAAACAAACCUUAAAUAACUAUAAACGAGCUCUGCUUCUAGAUGUUCGUUAACUUAACAAACUAGCUUUAUCGAGCCUCCUAGCAAAUAAUUAUAUCGAGCCUCCAAGCAAAUAAUUAUAUCGAGCCUCCUAACAAAUAAUUAUAUCGAGCAUGUUUACAAACAUAUUUAGUGAAUUUUUUUAAAAUAUCAAACAAGCAUGUUCAUGAACAUGUCUAACGAUUAUUCUUGAUCUAUCAAAUGAGCAACUUCACUAACAUAUAUAACUAGUUUUUUUGAGCUACCAAAUGAGCUCGUUCACUUUAAAUUCUAAAUCAUCAUCAUAGCCCUCCAAACUUUUUAUUUAGAAGAAAUAAUAACACACUAGUACAUUUUAUGUUUAUGGCACAAAUCUUUAUAACUGCCAUAUCAUUAAGAACUAUAUUAAAUGAUGAAAACGAAGUUUUAAUUAUACUAUUGCC
Long non-coding RNA from Dendrobium catenatum, 2102 nucleotides. RefSeq lists it as uncharacterized. The record is from RefSeq and is a predicted model, not a curated record. Lineage: Eukaryota; Viridiplantae; Streptophyta; Magnoliopsida; Asparagales; Orchidaceae. The transcript has 2 exons.